AUGUUCCGCCGCGCUACAUCCACUUUCCUCUCCCGCGCCGCCACUCGCCGCUUCUCCACCGACGUGGCUACCCCCACCACCAAUUCCUCCUUCGUUGAAGCGUGGAGGAAAGUUAGCCCCAAUAUCGAUCCACCUAAGACGCCUCUCGAAUUCCUCAAAACUCGUCCACCUGUUCCUUCUACAAACUUCUACAAACUUCUAUCAUACCAAAGUUAUACUUGGUUGCUACCAAUCUAUUUUGUCGUGUCUUUAGGAUGUUACGGUCUAUUAAUGGUUGGAGUUUUAGAAAGAUGA
This is a non-coding RNA of Vicia faba (fava bean), 294 nucleotides long. NCBI's taxonomy places the organism in Eukaryota, Viridiplantae, Streptophyta, Magnoliopsida, Fabales, Fabaceae. The record is from the annotation of a GenBank genome assembly.